RNAcentral lists this ribosomal RNA (524 nucleotides) under uncultured bacterium. RNAcentral describes it as "partial 16S ribosomal RNA". It matches the Rfam family "Bacterial small subunit ribosomal RNA", at positions 28 to 523 of the family's 1533-position model. The record is from RNAcentral.
GACGAACGCUGGCGGCGUGCCUAAUACAUGCAAGUCGAGCGCAGGAAACUGACGGAACUCUUCGGAGGGAAGGCAGUGGAAUGAGCGGCGGACGGGUGAGUAACACGUAAGGAACCUGCCUCAAGGAUUGGGAUAACUCCGAGAAAUCGGAGCUAAUACCGGAUAGUUCAACGGACCGCAUGGUCCGCUGAUGAAAGGCGCUCCGGCGUCACCUUGAGAUGGCCUUGCGGUGCAUUAGCUAGUUGGUGGGGUAAUGGCCGACCAAGGCGACGAUGCAUAGCCGACCUGAGAGGGUGAUCGGCCACACUGGGACUGAGACACGGCCCAGACUCCUACGGGAGGCAGCAGUAGGGAAUCUUCCACAAUGGACGAAAGUCUGAUGGAGCAACGCCGCGUGAGUGAUGAAGGUUUUCGGAUCGUAAAACUCUGUUGUAAGGGAAGAACACGUACGAGAGGGAAUGCUCGUACCUUGACGGUACCUUACGAGAAAGCCACGGCUAACUACGUGCCAGCCGCCGCAGUAA